Molecule: ribosomal RNA, 253 nt
Filed under: uncultured bacterium
Lineage: Bacteria
Description: partial 16S ribosomal RNA
Rfam family: Bacterial small subunit ribosomal RNA
Source: RNAcentral
UACGAAGGGGGCUAGCGUUGCUCGGAUUGACUGGGCGUAAAGGGCGCGUAGGCGGAUAGUCCAGUCAGGCGUGAAAUUCCUGGGCUCAACCUGGGGGCUGCGUUUGAUACGUAUUGUCUGGAGUUCGGAAGAGGGUCGUGGAAUUCCCAGUGUAGAGGUGAAAUUCGUAGAUAUUGGGAAGAACACCGGUGGCGAAGGCGGCGACCUGGUCCGAUACUGACGCUGAGGCGCGAAAGCGUGGGGAGCAAACAGG